Molecule: long non-coding RNA, 2678 nt
Organism: Aquila chrysaetos chrysaetos
Lineage: Eukaryota; Metazoa; Chordata; Aves; Accipitriformes; Accipitridae
Exons: 3
Source: RefSeq, a predicted model, not a curated record
AACAACAACAACAACAAAAUAUAAUAACAAUAAUAAUAAUAAUGAUAAUAAUGAUUAUGAUGAUGAUAAUAAUAAUAAUACUGCCUCUCCAAACAGCCUGAUUAACACCUCUGUUCUUUUUAAAGAACUUCACCUGACUCAUGCUGCCUGCUUUAUGAGCUAUGCAAAUGAACUGUUGACAUUUUGAUCUAUAGGAUAUAUAACCCUCACCACAAGGUCGGCCUUGAAUUUGGGAGGAGAAAGGAAAACUUGUGUUACAAUGCUGCAAUUUCUGGUGGAGUACGGCUGAUCUUGCUUUGAACCGUGCCGGAGAGUUCUCUUGUCAUUUAUUCCCUUCAUUUUGGGGUCGAGUUUUAGCACUUGGGGGAGCUAAGGGGAGAAAGAAAAAAACCCCAACCCAGAAUUAGCAGGGUUUCAAACAGAAUUUGUUAUGUAGAAUUACUAUAGAAAUGUCCAGAUUUCUGAGUGACUCCAUGCUUCGGGGUGAGGUGCUCCGGACUGGCAAAAUCCUCAAGUUGUCCAAGAACAAUUUCAUUUUAGGGAUGUGGUUUGCAGACAUACAGGCUGAGAUUUAUGAAGAUUUCGUAUGAAUACUACAUCAUAUUGACACUAAUUAUUUCAUCGUGGUUAUUAAUUACAAACUAGCUGUGAAAGCCAGCUUUUGGAAGCGUGGCAUCUCUACUAUUUCCAAGGCACUCUUUGCAAGAGCAAGGCUUUGUUUCUAGCAAUCUGUAAUUCACUGUUUACCCCUACAUUUUUUUGUCAUUUCUAUUUGAAUGCUGUUCCCUUUGCUGCUUUGGCUUCUCAAAAGUGGUGGUGGGGGGGGGGGAAGGAUGUACUUCAGCAGCCGGUGAUUUAUGGAUAGGUGAGUGGACGCAUGUGUUCAGCAAGCGAUCUGGGGAUUCCUGCUAAUGGAAAAGCAGAGAAAGUCAGAGGGCGACAUCCAUCUCUCAGACCCCUGGCACGUCGGACGGCUCAGUGGCACUUGUACAUAGACGGGAACCGGUUUUGAAUCCCUUUUGUAAACCUAACUGCUUUGAUGCUCAGUUAUGGCAGCAAUGUCAACAUUUCUUAGCAAUCCUUUUUGCUUUUCACUUUUUCAUUUGGGGAAAGGAUUUUAUGAGAAACCUAAUCAAACUGGCAGUACAGCCCAGUGCUUCGAAUGACGUAUGUAAUCGCCCUUCCUGCCUUUUUCCGAGAUACCAGCUCAACUGCCGCUGGAACAGUGAAGCUCACCUGGAGCCAGGAGCAGGGAGAAUUCCCAAAACAGUAUCCAGGUAAGCAGGUGGGGGGGUGGCUCGUCACCAUCUAUGGAUUAAUAGCAGUAACGGGAGCUCAAGGAAGGUCUCGUUUCCUUGGCACCUCAGCCCUGGUUUGCAGCAAUAUUAAAUAAGCGUCGCUCUGGCUCAUCAACUCUCACUGCUGUGAACCACAGCAGCUUAUUUGUUUGCAAAGAAUGAUAAAUUCUGAUUUUGGUAAGUUACUGUACCUUGUUACAAACUUCGCUUUUGACUAAAAAGGGAUUUCAACAAAAGCAAAGUUUUAAUGGCCCCCUUUGAAAGUAAUUUCUACCUUGCUGGACAAACCAGGAAGGAACAAGAGAUUUUUUUUUUUUAAAUCCAACUGUAUUGCUAAUAUUUAUUCCUUGGUUCUCUUGGACAAGUCUUACUCUAAUGUGAUGGGGGAAAUGGUUUUUUAAACUUUGCAGUGGCUUUUGGAGCAUUAAAUCUGAAUUAGUCUGCCAGUCUUCCUCUGAUGAGUAUUACACUUUUUUUGAUCUUCCACUGGAAAUUAGAGAUUUGCUGAAUGAAGUGUAAAUGCACAUUUACAUGUACAUCAAAGUCAAAAUCAAGGUAUUUUCUUUUUCCUGCAAUGCUAUUACGGAUGCAUUCAUUAAAAAAUGGUUCUGCCUUAAUUUUGUUCUCAGGCUAAAUAAGGGCUAAAUAAGAUACAACUUACAAGGUCAGGCCGCUGUCAAAGAGAACCAUGACAAGAGCUUUAUUAGCACUGGCAUUUACAGCUGCUCUCGGACAUCGCGGGGCCCGGGAUCGGAGGUUUUGGUCAGAGCAAACGUAUCCAAAGGAUUAUUCUGGUGAUACUCGGCACGGUGGUCUAGAUGCCGAAAAGCUACUUCAGGUAUCAUUUAUUCUGCGCUCACCCCCUUCUACCUGUUUUUCUCCAGCCUCACUGCUGGUGACUGUGUGAGCUGAACCUCUGACUUCCCAUCACCUACACUGCAGGAUCCGAACCCGAGAUAUUCAGCAUCCAGAAGAGAUGUAACAGCUACGAUGCUCAGUCCGAGUGUACAACGUACAUAUUCUUACUGCAUUUAACAAAUGCCCUGGACCUGGCGAUGCUGUGCCCGUGACAUAUGGAAGGAACGCAACCCAUCAAACUUCUAAUGGACUUGUCUUAAGCGAGCAGCUGCUCCAGCUCUGAAAGGUAAGGCUAUAAGCACAAGUGAUUUUGGCAUCACCUGGGUGGAUCAGGAAGAAGCUGAGGAAAGCUCCACGUACCGGUUUGAGAACUGAUUUGGAAGCUGGACGACCUCCGUGAUGGCUUCAGGAUUUCGUUUUGCAAUGCCGCACAUGUCCAGUUUGCUGUAGCACUCCUCUUGCACUUCGGAGAUCAUUCUUUGGAAUGUGGAGCACCUCCGGAUGGCAAGGAACACCUUGGAC